UACGAAGGGGGCUAGCGUUACUCGGAUUGACUGGGCGUAAAGGGCGCGUAGGCGGAUGGUACAGUCAGACGUGAAAUUCCUGGGCUCAACCUGGGGGCUGCGUUUGAUACGUGCUGUCUGGAGUUCGGAAGAGGGUCGUGGAAUUCCCAGUGUAGAGGUGAAAUUCGUAGAUAGUUAGGAAGAACACGGUGGCGAAGGCGGCGACCUGGUCCGAUACUGACGCUGAGGCGCGAAAGCGUGGGGAGCAAACAGG
RNAcentral lists this ribosomal RNA (253 nucleotides) under uncultured bacterium. RNAcentral describes it as "partial 16S ribosomal RNA". It matches the Rfam family "Bacterial small subunit ribosomal RNA", at positions 524 to 776 of the family's 1533-position model. The record is from RNAcentral.